RNAcentral lists this ribosomal RNA (253 nucleotides) under uncultured bacterium. Its description in RNAcentral is "partial 16S ribosomal RNA". It matches the Rfam family "Bacterial small subunit ribosomal RNA", at positions 524 to 776 of the family's 1533-position model. The record is from RNAcentral.
GACGUAGGGCGCGAGCGUUGUCCGGAUUUAUUGGGCGUAAAGAGCUCGUAGGCGGUUUGUUACGUCUGCUGUGAAAACCUAGGGCUUAACCCUGGGCUUGCAGUGGAUACGGGCAGACUAGAGGUAGGUAGGGGAGAAUGGAAUUCCUGGUGUAGCGGUGAAAUGCGCAGAUAUCAGGAGGAACACCGGUGGCGAAGGCGGUUCUCUGGGCCUUACCUGACACUGAGGAGCGAAAGCGUGGGGAGCGAACAGG